AUUGAACGCUGGCGGCAGGCCUAACACAUGCAAGUCGAGCGGAUGAAGGGAGCUUGCUCCUGGAUUCAGCGGCGGACGGGUGAGUAAUGCCUAGGAAUCUGCCUGGUAGUUGGGGAUAACGUCCGGAAACGGGCGCUAAUACCGCAUACGUCCUGAGGUAGAAAGUGGGGGAUCUUCGGACCUCACGCUAUCAGAUGAGCCUAGGUCGGAUUAGCUAGUUGGUGGGGUAAAGGCCUACCAAGGCGACGAUCCGUAACUGGUCUGAGAGGAUGAUCAGUCACACUGGAACUGAGACACGGUCCAGACUCCUACGGGAGGCAGCAGUGGGGAAUAUUGGACAAUGGGCGAAAGCCUGAUCCAGCCAUGCCGCGUGUGUGAAGAAGGUCUUCGGAUUGUAAAGCACUUUAAGUUGGGAAGAAGGGCAGUAAGUUAAUCCAUUGCUGUUUUGACGUUACCAACAGAAUAAGCACCGGCUAACUUCGUG
RNAcentral lists this ribosomal RNA (484 nucleotides) under uncultured bacterium. RNAcentral describes it as "partial 16S ribosomal RNA". It matches the Rfam family "Bacterial small subunit ribosomal RNA", at positions 30 to 507 of the family's 1533-position model. The record is from RNAcentral.